UCCACCUCCAUCACUCUUCCUCCAUCACUCUCUCCUCCUCUUCUCUCUGUGUUUUCAUUUGUUGUAUCAGUCUGUGUUGUGGUUCUACUGGUGUUACUGGUUCUGCUGGUGAGACAAUGUGUUCACAGGAAACCUGAAGCAGAUCAACAAGCUGGAGAAGAUGACAUCAUCACACGCGUCAUGUACUAUGCUGUCAAAAUACAAAGUAGAGCUGCAGUCCAUUCAGCAGUGAGAACUUACCAACCAGAAACCAUCUGAACAAAGAAGGCCCAGACUAAACCAGAGCCAGACGUCGUCUACUCUUCACUGAAGUAGUCCACCAGUCCAACCACUGACAUCCAGCUGCUGGUCUCUAACUGGUUCCCCAGCACCUCAGACCAAAGGACAUCCACAUGUUCAAAAGACUUUCUGUGUAUUUUAUGUGUUUCUUUGGCUUAUUUAGACUCACAUACUUCAAAAAUAAUAUACAUAUCAUAUACAUCUUAAUUGAUAUAAGUAGCUAAAAUCAGCAAUGAUAAUAAAAGUAUGCUAAUAUGUUUAAUGCUUACCAUAAGGUCACCUUGCUUUUGUAAUGCUGGUAGUGGUUUCAUUUGUUUGCAUCAUUAAUAAAUGUACAUUUGGUCUGACUUUUUUGUAAUGCCUAAAACAAACAAUUAGUAAUAAAUCCCCAAAACAAACAGUCCCAGCUUAAAGCCACCAUCUUGCCAGGGUCUCUGUUUGUGGAGUUUGCAUGUUCUAACCAUGCCGGUGUGGGUUCUGUCCGGGUACUCCGACUUCCUCCCACAGUCCAAAGACAUGCAGUUAGUACGAUUAGCUUAAUUGGUGAUUCUAUAUUGCCCAUAGAUGUGAAUUUGAGUGUGAACCGUUAUCUUUAUUUCUGUGUUGGCAGAGUGGGAACCUAUCCUGAGUGUACCCCACCUCUCACACUGUGGGAGCUGGGAUAGCCUCCAGUUCAUGCAUGACCUUGAUAAGCCGAAGUGGAUGGAUGGAUAGAUUUCAGGCUAACCACGCGUGCUUCAGUCACUUCCAAACAAUUCUUAUAUAAUCCCAAUUCAUAACAACAGUCUGGGAAUUUCCUCUCAGGGAAUUUCAUCAUAGCUCUGGUCCGUAUGUGCCUAGGCCUUUUUCAAAGUAAAAGGGGUUUCAAAGUAAAAGUAAAAGCCUUCUUGAUUUGUGACAAUUUUUUACAAUGUUGUUUUGAAAAAGAAUGUUGUGGUCUUACUGUUCACUGCACAUCUUAGAUGUGUUCCUUGUGCUCUGGAAUAAACUGUGGAAGCAUCUGUGAUGACCUGCUUAUCUGCUUGUAAAC
Long non-coding RNA from Oreochromis niloticus (Nile tilapia), 1309 nucleotides. RefSeq lists it as uncharacterized. NCBI's taxonomy places the organism in Eukaryota, Metazoa, Chordata, Actinopteri, Cichliformes, Cichlidae. The transcript has 4 exons. The record is from RefSeq and is a predicted model, not a curated record.